RNAcentral lists this long non-coding RNA (1200 nucleotides) under Rattus norvegicus (Norway rat). RNAcentral describes it as "long non-coding RNA NONRATT022283". Lineage: Eukaryota; Metazoa; Chordata; Mammalia; Rodentia; Muridae. The record is from RNAcentral.
ACUAAAAGCAAGUCUACAUUUAUAGCACAUUAUGAUUGUGAACAAGGAACCCCUUGUUCCAGAAAGUAAAAAGGAACUCUCUUGAAGCUUGGGUUAGUGUGUGUGUGUGUGUGUGUGUAUGUGUGUGUGUGUGUGUGUACACAUGUGCUGGUGUUUGGAUGUAUGUGUGUGAACGAAUGUAAGUCCUUGCUUUUCAUGUUCCUUUUGUUGUCCUUAUUUGUCCUUUUGUUUGUUUUUGUUUUUGUUUUUUUUAACUUGGAAGGGUUGAUAGGGUGGGGGGGGCGGGCCAGAAGGGAAGAGGGUAAACUGAGAUGUCAGUGUCCCACACAGCUUCAGAGAAAAAUCCAUGGAAAGAUGUCGCAUUUGUGAAGUAAGUAAGUACUUGAAAAGCAUGAUCUUGGUUUUGCUUUGUUUUGUUUUUAAUUUUUUUUAUUUUGCUAUUAAGAAUUUUUAUUUGUAGGAUGUUUAAUUUAAUUUUUUUUUUUAGGGAUGGGGGCCAUCAUGUGGAAACCAGAAAAGGGGAAAGUGUGAAAUAUUGAGACAGAGAUUGUUCUGUGUCCUUACUUGCUUUUGAUUGGCCUCAUUUCAAAUGUACUAAACAGUUUCAUACCUGGAUUGGAUGUCUGUGAUGGUUACCAAAAACAAACAAAACAAUGAAAGGAAAAAAAAAGAGAAAAUAAUUGUGACAUGCUUUUAUCACUACUUUAUUUUUCAAAUAACAUGUAAAUAUUGUAAUCCAUUGGAUUUUGUUUUGCUAACCUGUUAAUAAAAAUAUGGGACCAUUAUCCUUUUAACAAGGCUAGAAUGUCAUUUUUUUUCUUUUUCAAACAUAUACCUGAUAUUUUGUGGCCGCACAUUUUGGACGCAUUCUGUUUUCUGUUGACUGUAAUGACGUAGAAUUUACAACAUUUUUUGUUGUUGUUGUUUAAUUUAUACAGAGGACAUUUUUUUCCAGAGCUUGAGAGAAGAAAAUAAAUAGCAAAAUGAUAACCUAUUGACUCCAAUAAUCAGUGUUUCCUGAAACUUGAUAAAAGAGAGGGGGAUCCUGACUCCUUGAAGCCAAGGGUUUAAACACAAAAAAAUAAAAAUAAAAAAAAAUAACUAAAAAUAAAAAACACAAGUAGGUUAUUCAAGUUGUUUGCAACAUACAUUUUGUAAUGAGAUGUGAGAAAUUAAUAAAGAAUUUUUUUCACAUGUAUC